This 372-nucleotide ribosomal RNA is filed under the name uncultured organism. RNAcentral's name for it is "bacterial SSU rRNA". It matches the Rfam family "Bacterial small subunit ribosomal RNA", at positions 526 to 896 of the family's 1533-position model. The record is from RNAcentral.
CGGAGGGUGCAAGCAUUGAUCGGAAUUACUGGGCGUAAAGGGCGCGUAGGCGGCAAGAAAAGUCAGGUGUGAAAUUCCGGGGCUCAACCCCGGAGCUGCAUUUGAAACUUUCUAGCUAGAGUACAGUUAGGGUAAACGGAAUUCCACGUGUAGCGGUGAAAUGCGUAGAUAUGUGGAAGAACACCAGUGGUGAAGACGGUUUACUGGGCUGAAACUGACGCUGAGGCGCGAAAGCAUGGGGAGCAAACAGGAUUAGAUACCCUGGUAGUCCAUGCCUUAAACGAUGCAUACUAGGUGUAGGAGGGAUCAACCCCCUCUGUACCGGAGCUAACGCAUUAAGUAUGCCGCCUGGGGAGUACGCUCGCAAGGGUG